UGGACAAGAAACAAGAUGUGU
This 21-nucleotide non-coding RNA is filed under the name Arabidopsis thaliana (thale cress). Lineage: Eukaryota; Viridiplantae; Streptophyta; Magnoliopsida; Brassicales; Brassicaceae. The record is from RNAcentral.